RNAcentral lists this ribosomal RNA (449 nucleotides) under uncultured organism. RNAcentral describes it as "partial 16S ribosomal RNA". It matches the Rfam family "Bacterial small subunit ribosomal RNA", at positions 335 to 800 of the family's 1533-position model. The record is from RNAcentral.
ACUCCUACGGGAGGCAGCAGUGGGGAAUAUUGGACAAUGGGCGCAAGCCUGAUCCAGCCAUGCCGCGUGAGUGAUGAAGGCCCUAGGGUUGUAAAGCUCUUUCACCGGAGAAGAUAAUGACGGUAUCCGGAGAAGAAGCCCCGGCUAACUUCGUGCCAGCAGCCGCGGUAAUACGAAGGGGGCUAGCGUUGUUCGGAAUUACUGGGCGUAAAGCGCACGUAGGCGGAUCGAUCAGUCAGGGGUGAAAUCCCAGGGCUCAACCCUGGAACUGCCUUUGAUACUGUCGAUCUGGAGUAUGGAAGAGGUGAGUGGAAUUCCGAGUGUAGAGGUGAAAUUCGUAGAUAUUCGGAGGAACACCAGUGGCGAAGGCGGCUCACUGGUCCAUUACUGACGCUGAGGUGCGAAAGCGUGGGGAGCAAACAGGAUUAGAUACCCCAGUAGUCCCAUGA